UAGGUCCUUGGGGACGCAUAGUUAAGGUGCCAGGACAUCCUGGAAGCUGGGAAAUGAUUUCUUCCAGACCAUGGCUGGAGAAGGAAAGAAGGUGUGUUUUGCCUGAUUCAGGGACUAUAGAGAGAACCAAGUUCUGCAGGCCUGUCAUCUAAGUCUCAGGGCGGGGAGACCUUCCUUCCCCACGGGUUUGAGGCUAUGGCUAAGUGGUGAGCCUUGGUGAGACGCAGAAAGGAUCCAUCCCAGGCACUUGGCUAGAGGCAGGUUCCUGGGAUCUGAUAAAACUGAUAUUGGAGACGCUGGAGCUGAUCCGACAUAGCAAUGGUGUUGACUCCCUCCUUAUGUGUGGAUUGCUCAGCGGGGGAACUUGACUGUCCAACAUGCUGGGUGCAAGAACAGCAGAAAGGGGACUUUUAAGAUGUGGCAAACAUGAGGCCUCUUCGGAGAGGACUUUGGAAACCAGGCCUUGCUUGGCUGAAUGCUAUCCCAGUGAUUGUACGUGCCCUGUUUGCUGAAUCUACUCAUCCUUAAGGGUACAUUUGCUUCCAGGUAACAUGUUUGUGACUAAUACUACAAUGUGCAUAUAUCUAUUCCAUGUUCUGCUUUGUCUGUUUGGGAUAUUUUUCAUACACUGAUUCAGUACCAUGUGUAUUCCCUUGCUUUUGUUGUCUCAUCCGUUGAUGUUACGUCCCCCAAAUUAUUGCCACGACCAGUUGUCAUGAAGCUUCACCCUUCUGUAUUGUGCUAGGAAUUUUACAGCUAUAGGUUUUACAUUAUAGUCUUCAUUCAUUUUUUAAAAUUGACACAUGUAAUUGUGCAUAUUUUGGGGAAACAAUUAUAUAUAUAUGUUGUAUAACAAUAAAAAUCAGAGUACUUCUAUACUUGUUGCCUCAUGCAUUUGUUAUUUUUGUGGUGAGAAUAUUCAAAAGCUUCUUCUCUAGCUAUUUUAUUUUAUCUUUAAGUAUUAAAUUUUUUUAGAGACAGGAUCUUGCUCUAACACCCAGACUGGUGUGCAGUGGUGCAAUCUUAGCUCACUGUAACUUCAAACAGUCUUCUAACCUUAGUUUCCCAAUUAGCUGAGACUACAGGAAGCUGCCACCAUGCCUGGCUAAUGUUUUAAUUUUUCAUAGAGACAGGGUCACACUAUGUUGUCCAGGCUCAUCUUGAACUUCUGACGUCAAGUGAUUCUCCU
RNAcentral lists this long non-coding RNA (1189 nucleotides) under Homo sapiens (human). Its description in RNAcentral is "HSALNT0402654". The record is from RNAcentral. Lineage: Eukaryota; Metazoa; Chordata; Mammalia; Primates; Hominidae.